RNAcentral lists this ribosomal RNA (254 nucleotides) under uncultured bacterium. Its description in RNAcentral is "partial 16S ribosomal RNA". It matches the Rfam family "Bacterial small subunit ribosomal RNA", at positions 524 to 776 of the family's 1533-position model. The record is from RNAcentral.
GACAGAGGGUGCGAGCGUUGUCCGGAAUCACUGGGCGUAAAGGGCGCGUAGGUGGUGGCUUAAGCGUGCGGUGAAAGCUCGGAGCUCAACUCCGAGUCGGCCGUGCGAACUGGGCUCACUGGAGCAUAGUAGAGGCAGGUGGAAUUCCGGGUGUAGCGGUGGAAUGCGUAGAGAUCCGGAAGAACACCGGUGGCGAAGGCGGCCUGCUGGGCUAUGGCUGACACUGAGGCGCGACAGCGUGGGGAGCAAACAGG